UACGGAGGGGGCAAGCGUUGUCCGGAUUUAUUGGGCGUAAAGAGCGGGUAGGCGGCCAAACAGGUCAGCUGUGAAAACUCGAGGCUCAACCUCGAGACGUCGGUUGAAACCGUUUGGCUAGAGUCCGGAAGAGGAGAGUGGAAUUCCCGGUGUAGCGGUGAAAUGCGCAGAUAUCAGGAGGAACACCGGUGGCGAAGGCGGGUCUCUGGGCCGAUACUGACACUGAGGAGCGAAAGCGUGGGGAGCGAACAGG
Molecule: ribosomal RNA, 253 nt
Filed under: uncultured bacterium
Lineage: Bacteria
Description: partial 16S ribosomal RNA
Rfam family: Bacterial small subunit ribosomal RNA
Source: RNAcentral